RNAcentral lists this ribosomal RNA (493 nucleotides) under uncultured bacterium. RNAcentral's name for it is "bacterial SSU rRNA". It matches the Rfam family "Bacterial small subunit ribosomal RNA", at positions 28 to 521 of the family's 1533-position model. The record is from RNAcentral.
GAUGAACGCUAGCGGCAGGCCUAACACAUGCAAGUCGAGGGGUAGUUACUUUCGGGUAAUGAGACCGGCGCACGGGUGCGUAACGCGUAUGCAAUCUACCUUUUACAGGGGAAUAGCCCAGAGAAAUUUGGAUUAAUGCCCCAUAGUAUGUAUGAAUCGCAUGGUUUAUACAUUAAAGUUCCAACGGUAAAAGAUGAGCAUGCGUCCCAUUAGUUAGUUGGUAAGGUAACGGCUUACCAAGACGAUGAUGGGUAGGGGUCCUGAGAGGGAGAUCCCCCACACUGGUACUGAGACACGGACCAGACUCCUACGGGAGGCAGCAGUGAGGAAUAUUGGACAAUGGGCGCAAGCCUGAUCCAGCCAUGCCGCGUGCAGGAAGAAGCAUCUAUGGUGUGUAAACUGCUUUUGUACGGGAAGAAACACUCCUACGUGUAGGAGCUUGACGGUACCGUAAGAAUAAGGGAUCGGCUAACUCCGUGCCAGCAGCCGCGGU